RNAcentral lists this ribosomal RNA (441 nucleotides) under uncultured bacterium. Its description in RNAcentral is "partial 16S ribosomal RNA". It matches the Rfam family "Bacterial small subunit ribosomal RNA", at positions 338 to 795 of the family's 1533-position model. The record is from RNAcentral.
CCUACGGGUGGCAGCAGUGGGGAAUAUUGCACAAUGGGGGAAACCCUGAUGCAGCGACGCCGCGUGAGUGAAGAAGUAUUUCGGUAUGUAAAGCUCUAUCAGCAGGGAAGAAGAAAGACGGUACCUGACUAAGAAGCCCCGGCUAACUACGUGACAGCAGCCGCGGUAAUACGUAGGGGGCAAGCGGUAUCCGGAUUUACUGGGUGUAAAGGGAGCGUAGACGGCGUGGCAAGUCUGGUGUGAAAGGGCGGGGCUCAACCCCGGGACUGCAUUGGAAACUGGCAUGCUGGAGUGCCGGAGGGGCAAGCGGAAUUCCUGGUGUAGCGGUGAAAUGCGUAGAUAUUAGGAGGAACACCGGUGGCGAAGGCAGCUUGCUGGACUGUAACUGACGUUGAGGCUCGAAAGCGUGGGGAGCAAACAGGAUUAGAUACCCGGGUAGUC